This 395-nucleotide ribosomal RNA is filed under the name uncultured bacterium. Its description in RNAcentral is "bacterial SSU rRNA". It matches the Rfam family "Bacterial small subunit ribosomal RNA", at positions 106 to 509 of the family's 1533-position model. The record is from RNAcentral.
GUGAGUAACGCGUAUCCAACUUCCCUUAGUAGGGCAUAGCCCGGUGAAAAUCGGAUUAAUACCCUAUGUUCUCGUAGAAGACAUCUGAAAUGAAGCAAAGGUUUACCGCUAAGGGAUGGGGAUGCGUCUGAUUAGGUAGUCGGCGGGUAACGGCCCACCGAGCCAUCGAUCAGUAGGGGUUCUGAGAGGAAGGUCCCCCACACUGGUACUGAGACACGGACCAGACUCCUACGGGAGGCAGCAGUGAGGAAUAUUGGUCAAUGGUCGAGAGACUGAACCAGCCAAGUAGCGUGCAGGAUGACGGCCCUAUGGGUUGUAACUGCUUUAUGCGGGAUAAGUGCACUACGUGUAGUGUUGUAGGUACCGCAUGAAUAAGGACCGGCUAAUUCCGUGCC